RNAcentral lists this ribosomal RNA (522 nucleotides) under uncultured bacterium. RNAcentral describes it as "partial 16S ribosomal RNA". It matches the Rfam family "Bacterial small subunit ribosomal RNA", at positions 355 to 864 of the family's 1533-position model. The record is from RNAcentral.
UGGGGAAUAUUGCACAAUGGGCGCAAGCCUGAUGCAGCCAUGCCGCGUGUGUGAAGAAGGCCUUCGGGUUGUAAAGCACUUUCAGCGAGGAGGAAAGGUGGUGAAGCUUAAUACGCUCAUCAAUUGACGUUACUCGCAGAAGAAGCACCGGCUAACUCCGUGCCAGCAGCCGCGGUAAUACGGAGGGUGCAAGCGUUAAUCGGAAUUACUGGGCGUAAAGCGCACGCAGGCGGUUUGUUAAGUCAGAUGUGAAAUCCCCGGGCUCAACCUGGGAACUGCAUUUGAAACUGGCAAGCUAGAGUCUCGUAGAGGGGGGUAGAAUUCCAGGUGUAGCGGUGAAAUGCGUAGAGAUCUGGAGGAAUACCGGUGGCGAAGGCGGCCCCCUGGACGAAGACUGACGCUCAGGUGCGAAAGCGUGGGGCAGCAAACAGGAUUAGAUACCCUGGUAGUCCACGCUGUAAACGAUGUCGAUUUUGGAGGUUGUGCCCCUUGAGGCGUGGCUUCCGGAGCUAACGCGUUAAA